This is a long non-coding RNA of Brienomyrus brachyistius, 476 nucleotides long. RefSeq lists it as uncharacterized. The transcript has 3 exons. The record is from RefSeq and is a predicted model, not a curated record. Lineage: Eukaryota; Metazoa; Chordata; Actinopteri; Osteoglossiformes; Mormyridae.
AGAAUCCCCCGCCCCUCCCCUCUCCUCCCCAGCAGGCGCACCCCACAAAUGGAGGGCACCCUCACUCCCCGCAAAUGGAGGGUACCCAGAGAAGUUCUGCCGGAGAUGGGAUUUCCUCAGUCCUAGUCAAAUCCAUUUCCUGGAUGGAACAGUGAGACAGUCAGAGAAACAAACCAAGGAACAAAACAAACGAUUUUCGCUGAUCGGGUGCAGGAUCCCGCCUCCCCAGCUUGUAGUAUCACAGCUUUUUAUUUGUAUGCAUACGUUCUUUAAAAUGCCUGGUGCGUAUGUCAUUUGUUUUUGGGAUGAGCAAUGCCACAAUAGCCGAAAGAUUGUGUUACUGUUAUAAUGUAAAAGAAUGUACAAUGUGCGUUGAUUACCUCCUUAGCACUAUUCCAGGGUGAUUUCUUAGGGAAAAUAUAUUAAACUUGUAUGAAAUGAACCUGCAGUGUCGACUCAACCUUAUCAACCAAAGU